CGCGAGCUGCAGACCUUGGGGUACCAAAGCAGUCUUUGGACUUAUUUAUUCAGCUCCUUUUUCUUUUCUGGACGGACUGCGAAACAGGAUCUGAUCCCUUCAGCACUCUGGUACGAAAGGUCCACAGCUCUUCUGGAGAGAAAGAGAGAUCUAUGCUGUUCCUCUGCUAUAAUUAUGACAUCAUGAAGCCCGGAGAACCUCAGGCUCCUUUCCCCAAGUGUCCUGGAAAUGCUGAGAAUGGAGAUGGAACCCCAAUUUCUCCGCCAACUCAGAGGCCAUUGCUUAGGCUGCCCUGGGAGACUUGCUUGUCUUUGAAACCAUGAGCCUCUUAUGGACAAGAGAAGCCCUGUGUUUGUGUUGGUUUGGUGGGAGGGGAAGAUGGUGGGAACCCACACAUGUGGCUGAAAAGUGCUGUGACAUCUGAAAACCUUGAGAAAGCUCUCAAAAUCUGUUACAAAAGGGGUGGUGGAAAGUUCUGGACAUUUGACUUAAGAGAAAAGAUCUGGGGCAUCUGAUAGGGUAUUUCAAAUAUUUGAGGGAUAAAUUAGGCAUGUUCUUCAAAGUAUCGGCAGGAAGAGCAAGGGAGAAGUUGUAAAAAGUUACAUAAUUUUUUCCUGUUUUUCUUUUAAUCAGCACGAGCUUUAACACAAUGGAACCAGCUUAUUCUUGAGGUAGUGAGUUUCCUGUCUCUGGAUGUAUUUAAGCAAAGACUGAACAGUCACCUAGCAGGCAUGUUGUUGACUGGACUUUUCAUGGGGUGGAGGCAUAGACUCGAUGGCCUCUUCCAACUUUGAGAGUCCUUAAACCUCUGAUAUCCCCUUUGCUUGUAUGAGUCAGUGCCUAAAUGUCCACCACUGCAGAAGGCAAAUCUCUCUCUUUCUCAAAUUACUCUUGAGGGAGCAAAUGCUAACAAUUCUCACUGGAGUGUUAAUGCCUCAAAAGGUUUUCUCUUCUGAAAGUGGUCAUGAUUAGGGGAGCUUGGCUGGGCUUCAGCUCACUCCUAGCUCAGUCAACUCUUCCAAAUUAGCUAACCGUCUCAGUGAAGCCAGUGUGGUUACUCUGCAGGCCAGCUUUAAGACAAAUUCUCUAGUUCUGAAAAACAGAUUCCCAAGGCCUCUGAUGCAAUACUGAUUCAAUAGGUCUGAGGUAGGAUUAUAAAAAUGUUUCCAGGUGAUUCUGAGGGUCAGCCUGAUUUGGGAACACUUUGCUAAGCUUUGCCUCAACCCAAUGCCCAAGGAGCAAGUGGGAGGAUUAUUCUGACCUCAGUCUGUCAAGCUUGUAGAUUUCCAUGGGAUGCUCUUGUUCUGAUCCAGGUAUUUGCCCAUCCCUGGAGAGCUGCCUCUGUCUUCUGCUCCAAUGAGUCCCAGACCCACUGGCCACUGGCAUCUUACCUUUCUCAUGGUGUUUGAUGGCCAGCACUCUUCCAUCCUGACUACAUUCCUCCUCCACCUUCCUCACCCAGGCUGUACCUUUUUGGACUCCUCAUUUCAAUAGGUGCUAUAACCCCCAUGAGGAGGGCUAAACUUUUUCAACUAUUUAUGCAUAAUUUUCACCUGGGAUUUGAACCCAAUGUUCGUGUUUCACUAUAUGGUCCUGGUUUGUUUGUGUAUCCUCCCACCAGACCCUACCGUCCUUUAUUUCCUCAGGGGCCGGAACUGUACCUUUCUUCUUAGGAUUUUCCACGUCUAGCACAAAACUAGGUACAAACCAUGUACCUAGGAAAGAAGGAAGGAGGGAGGGUGGAUAUGCUUGUUCCAAGGAUUAUAUCUAGUUUCAACAAAGAUUGCUUGAGUAUUGUGCAGAAAUGCAAGUGACAGACACAGUUGGGAGUGGGGCUGGACAUGUGUGUGAAAUGUGUAGGGAGUAGGGACUCUGAGCGUUACUAAUUUUUUCUGUCUUAUCAGGGUUAAGGCACCAUUGUGCUGAGAGCACAACUCACCACUGUCGCCUGCCCUCAGCCUCUCCCAACGUAAGUUUUCAAGUUUUUCUACUGCUCCUCAUAAAGAUAGCCAGCUAUCCUGCCUGCACAGUUUUCUAAAGUCAGUCACUGACACUUUUUUUUUUAGCAAAAACCACGAGUACCUCGAGACAAAUACAUUAUGGAGACAACUGUCAUCACAACCACAUGUGGUAUUAUUUACUCAAGUCAGUUUGAAUGAUUAAUGUGGAAAAGUGGCCGGGCAGCUAAUGAGAUUGAGGGCCGUGUAGAACAAUUUCUAUGUGAUUUUAAACAAUGCCCACUCUGUCCGUGGAGAGUCACAGAAACAUGAAUAGCUGGCGCGGCUGCCUCCUCUCUCUGCUGACUCCCUGUCUCAGCUGGGUCCUCCCAGCACACUCCCUACUCCCAGAGACUCCAAAUUUUCCAUCUGCAGCCAAGGAAGAGAAAGCAAGGACCCUUUCUAUUUCAGCAGCCUGGAGCUGUGGGCAGUGGCGGCCAUCUGGCUGACGUCAUUGGUGACUCCUCAGACAGCCAGAGGACAGAUGAGACUUAGGGGGCCUUGCGAGAGAGUGAGGAUUGUUGGCCGCUCUUUGCCUUCUUUAAUGAGUGGCUGCGUAGACAAGGUUAUAAACCAAAUGAUGCUUCAUUCUUCAGAGAAACAGCAUGGAAGUGGAAGAGUUUGAAAAAGAACAAGGUGCUACAAACAAGUCAGGAAUUUGUUCUGCAGGCCUGUCAAGUCUAUAAAUAUCUAGAAUCCUGCUUACCAAGUAUUGGUGUGAGGUAUGUCUCCAGGGUUGAUGAUGAAACCGAUGCUCACAGAGUUGAAAUAAGCUGCUGAAGGUCAUGCAGUGACAAUGGGAAGAAGGAAAUAACCUGAGAGAGUGCACACCAAUCAUUUCAACGGCAAAAUCCAAAAGUGGCACACAUCGUUUCAGAUCCCAUCCCAUUGGUUGGGACAUAGUCACUGGUUUCACAUAGCUGCAAGAAAGGAUGGAAAAUGAAGUCGUUACCUGGACAGCUGAGCUAUGUGCUCAGCUAAAACUGAGAAAAGGGAUUUGGGGGCACAAUUAGCAAUCUGCCACAGCCUCCAAUGAAGGUCUUGGAAUCCAGAAGGUUGGCAAUCCAGAAGAGCAUUGUACAGCUGCCCCUUCAUUCUAUAAUUCCUGUCUCACUCAACUUUGAGCCUUUGAGAUGUCAGCAUUGGAAACGUUAGAGUCAGAUAGUGAAAGCUUUGCUAAUUUGACAAGGAAUGAAGGUUCAUUAAACUUCUAAAUGUGGCAUUUUUAUAGGUUAUGGCCAAACUGAAGUUGGCCAAGCGUGAAUAUCAUUAGCUGCAGUUUUGUUUGUACUCCAUAGUAUGUUGUUCCUCUCUCUCUCUCUCUCCCUCCCUCUCCUUAUCUACAUUUUCUUUCUGUUUUUGGGACUCUCCUUUUUGCAUCGAUAGGUACUCAAGAAAAAAAUUCAGGGUUUCAGUUGGAAAAAACAAGUUUUAAAGUAGAAUUUUCAACAAGACGCCUAAUGAACGGUGGUCUAUUCGCACAGCUGAACACCCUACUCACAAAUCUCUUUCUCUUAUAGAUUUGUGAGGAACAGGAGGUUAUAUUCUCUGCAUGGGAUUUUGCUUCUGGGCUAGGGUUGACUGCAAGUUUAUUGGAAUGAGCACUACGUUUUGUUUUGUUUUCACCAUAAGGGACUUCUGCAAGGAGCCCCAGUGCUCAUCACGUGCUGUGAGGAAAAUGGAGAGAGUUUGCAGAACAGUUCUCUCCCUUCAUUCAAAAUUAGGUUCAAGCUGAGAACCGCUGGUGAUUUUUCAAGUCCUGUUUUGGAUGAAAUAAGCAGACAUGUUUGAAUUAAUUAAUGUUGUAAGGCGACUCUUAGCACUGAGACUGAGCUAGUGCCUGAUAGAAGGAGCGCUGAGCCAGGAAUCACAAAACCCCUGUCCUAGCCUUGGCAUCGCCACCAACUCCUUGUGGGACCAUGAACAAAUCGCCAACAUUUCUGUGCCUUCGUUCCCCACUUACAUAAAUACAGAGAUAUUUGCACUUCUAGAAGAAGAAUGGUUGUGUCGAUACUCUGGUGUGACUUUGUUAUGAUAACACAGGAAGACUGAGGUGCAGUGGGCCCUUGCGAAUCAUCCUCCCCUCCAUGAACCAGGUGGAAUAGACCAUUCCCUUCUCAGAGACCCCUGGACCCUACAUCCUAGUACCCUAUACUAUAAGUCCUGCAAUAUUUGGUGGCUUAUAUUUUAUUUAUGGGUCUGCUUUCCCAUGGGCUUCUUAAAGAGUGUGCAUUUCUCAUUUGAUCGCUACAGUGCCUACUACUGUGGUUGGCACUUGAUAUUGGAUAAAUGAAUGAAAUAAAGCACACCCAAAGUUAGAUGGCUGGUCAGGGGCUGGUUAGUGGCUGGUUAGGGCUGGGUCAAGUCUGGUUACUCCCAGACCAGUCUUUUGCAUAUUUGACCUCUCCCUACUCUCAAGAAUAAGGGUGAAAUAGGACAUCAAACGUAAGAAGUGCUCACGCUCUGGAGAUUCUGGUGCAGGAGAGGAGUGGUUUCCUCUGCUCAGGCUUGUUCUGCUAUUUCAGCCUCUUGGUCCUUAAUGACGGUUUAUUCUCAUAGCACACUUCUCUCUCUCUUUUACCUCAAGAAUCUCUGCUUGGGAUAGAGGUGGGCAGAGGUUGGGCAGAGGUGCCUCAAGCCAAACCAAGGAGGAAGAUAUUGCACUGGGGCUCAGAGUACUUCAGAGGAGCUUUUGAUGUCGAAAUCCAAAGCGCACGAUAUCUGCUCUCCAGGGUGAGGGCUAACAUCAUCUCUCCAAGAUGAGGCUUGCAGCAGCUGCCCUAAGAAGGCAGAAUGUCUCACACCCUCGGAAUUAGACACUAGACACCAAGAGGCCUAUGGCUGGGGCUGUCUCUCAGGUCUUCACCUGACACUGCUCUGUCUGCUUAAGAAUGGGCUCCAUGGGGGCCGGCCCAUGGCUGAGUGGUUAAAGUUCCUCACACUCUGCUUCUGCAGCCCAGGUUCCCGGGUUCAGAUCCCAGGUGCAGACCUACUCCACUCA
Molecule: long non-coding RNA, 4998 nt
Organism: Equus caballus (horse)
Lineage: Eukaryota; Metazoa; Chordata; Mammalia; Perissodactyla; Equidae
Source: RefSeq, a predicted model, not a curated record